AGAACUUCUGUUUAUAUUUCUUUUCUCAUUGUUUCCAGUUUUGAUGUUUCAUACAGUGCAUAGUAUAUCGGCACAGUAGUGCAGUCCUACUCAUAAAUAAAUAUGCAUGUAUUGUAAAGAGUCGGAGAGGACUAUUGGAGUCCACUGAGCUAAAGAAAUGAAUGCAGGUUGAAGGCCUGGGGGAGAGAUUCUCACCUGAGACGAGCCCCAUUUCCUUCUUCAUGCUAUCUAAACUGGCUCCCAGUACCUCCCAGUGUCAUGUGCCCAGACCUGGUGCGAAGCCAGCACAAAACCUACUUUCACGCAGUUUAGCAAAAACUCCUCAGCUACUCUGGCCAAGCAAGCCCUGGACCUGCCUCAUAGGCACUUCCUUCUCUGGAACUCUGCACACAGUUCCCAGGGUCUGGAACGCAUCUCACCCAACAAAACCUACGUCCUCCAUGGAGUCUUUUCUGAUUACCCAGCUCUCAAGUGCUUCUCUCCCUUUUCUACAGGUACUUUCCCAUGUGCUUCCAUUUGACACUAGUUGUUUUGUCUCCUUGGCUUACUUCUCGGAGGUAGGCUUCCUACCUGUCCAAGCAUAUUGCUUCUUGAGAAGGGACGCAUUAGUGUUCAGAAGAGGUGGCACAUGGUAUAGUUUUGUCACCACGCUUGCUGCAGGUACAUCCCUCUCCAUUGUCAUCUGAGAUCACAGGGACUUGGAUUCUAGUCUGGACAGGUGUGGGAUGGGCUAACCUUGGGGCCUGUGUCUUCCAUGCCGCCAUCUUCUCAUCCUCCCUGAAAGUGGAUCCACAUUCUCCAAGACCAAGAAGUGAGUGCUGUCUCUGCAACCCUGGUGAACUCUGACUUCAUUGAGAGCCUGGUUGAGCUUUGGAAGGCCUUUUUCUUCUUCCGUCUUUGGAAGACAUAAACACCAAAGGGGAGAAGACGCAGCUCAUGCACACUCACCUCUUCUAGUCAAUGAUUUAAAUCUAAACAGUUAACAGACAAAGAAGUAAAAAUGAGAGAAAGCAUUGAUUAGUCAACCUUGUGCAUCCUGUUCAGAGAUCAAAGGGGCCAGUGAACAGGGAUCAAAGUGGGGGGAAAUACUGAAUGCAACCCCCUUGGGAAGCGACAUUUCUCACGACGUGGUAUGACUUAAUCAGAACCACUCUGUGCAACAGCUGCAAAGAGGAAGAAAAAAACAACCCUGAAAAUUAUUAAUUAGGUAAGCCGAUGUUCCAUGUGCCUUUCACGACAUAAGAGUCAUUUCAGCAGUUGUGCCAACUCUCAGUAGACAGAUAUUUCUGCAGGUAGGUUCCCUUCAGAAAUGGGCACAAAAAUACAUUGUUGUAGCUGCUGUGCAACCACACUUCCCUGACUCAGGUCUGCAAAACUCUAGUGUGAAGCGUUGUUGUGUGGGGCUUGUUCACACCAGAGGAGUGCCAUUCCUAGCUACUUCAUCUAUAAAAGUUUAAAAAAAGAAAUCCCUUAAAACAAUAGAUGUGUAACUCAGAAAGUCACAAAGAUUUAAGUGAAAAUGUGUGGCAUCUGGAUAGUGCUUUAUAGUUUUCAAAAUAUUUUCGUAUGUGCCCUUUUAUUUGUUCAUGACACCUCGCCUGACCUUCGUGAAGGACAGCCACUGGACCCCAGGGCUGGCAAUUAAGCAGAAUUAGGGCUUCCAUCCUGUUCUGGUGAAGAAGAUGAUACUUCUACCUAUGUUAGGUCAUAAAACAGAACAUUUCAAAAAAGAAUUCACUGUGUUUUUGAAUGCAAACAGUAAGGGAUUUGGAAAAGAACAAUAAAUGAAUGAAUGAAGUGGAAUCCUUGGAUCCA
Molecule: long non-coding RNA, 1815 nt
Filed under: Vulpes vulpes (red fox)
Lineage: Eukaryota; Metazoa; Chordata; Mammalia; Carnivora; Canidae
Description: lncRNA (ENSVVUG00000004282.1)
Source: RNAcentral